UUUAACGAUUUAUAUCUAGACUCAGACGGCACAGUUAUCAGAAUUUAAGAUGGCUACCGGCGGGCACGGGCCAGGGGCGGUAAAGCCCCCGGCGGCCCCAAAGGGCGGGCCCGCCAAAGCAACGUGGUUGGUUAAACAAAGGGUUGGAGGUCGGGCCUGGAAGACCCUUACUCGGUAAUGAUCCUUCCGCAGGUUCACCUACGGAAA
RNAcentral lists this unclassified non-coding RNA (207 nucleotides) under uncultured fungus. RNAcentral's name for it is "sequence contains ITS1". Lineage: Eukaryota; Fungi. The record is from RNAcentral.